AGGUCAUUGCUAUUGGAGUCCGAUUUAGCCAUGCUAGUUGUACGAGUUUAGACUCGUAGCAAAUAGCUCAGUAAACACGUGGCCAAACUACCCUAUCGAUGCACAAUACUCUCGGGAAACUGAGGUUAAUAGUGCAUACGGCUCGCUGCCUGGAGUGGCGCGAGCUCGAAAUGCUCAGGCGCGAUAGGAUGUGGCUGCGGCCGAUUAGGUAGACGGUGGGGUAACGGCCCACCGUGCCGAUAAUCGGUACGGGUUGUGAGAGCAAGAGCCCGGAGACGGUAUCUGAGACAAGAUACCGGGCCCUACGGGGCGCAGCAGGCGCGAAACCUUUACACUGCACGAGAGUGCGAUAAGGGGACUCCAAGUGCGAGGGCAUAUAGUCCUCGCUUUUUCCGACCGUAGGAUGGUCGGCGAAUAAGUGCUGGGCAAGACCGGUGCCAGCCGCCGCGGUAAUACCGGCAGCACAAGUGAUGACCGCUAUUAUUGGGCCUAAAGCGUCCGUAGCUGGCCACGCAAGUCCAUCGGGAAAUCUCCCCGCUCAACGGGGAGGCGUCCGGUGGAAACUGCAUGGCUUGGGACCGGAAGAUCCAGAGGGUACGUCUGGGGUAGGAGUGAAAUCCUGUAAUCCGAGACGGACCACCGGUGGCGAAAGCGCUCUGGAAAGACGGAUCCGACGGUGAGGGACGAAAGCUCGGGUCACGAACCGGAUUAGAUACCCGGGUAGUCCGAGCUGUAAACGAUGUCUGCUAGGUGUGGCACAGGCUACGAGCCUGUGCUGUGCCGUAGGGAAGCCGUGAAGCAGACCGCCUGGGAAGUACGUCUGCAAGGAUGAAACUUAAAGGAAUUGGCGGGGGAGCACUACAACCGGAGGAGCCUGCGGUUU
This 883-nucleotide ribosomal RNA is filed under the name uncultured archaeon. RNAcentral describes it as "SSU rRNA". It matches the Rfam family "Archaeal small subunit ribosomal RNA", at positions 21 to 903 of the family's 1478-position model. The record is from RNAcentral.